This 467-nucleotide ribosomal RNA is filed under the name uncultured bacterium. RNAcentral's name for it is "bacterial SSU rRNA". It matches the Rfam family "Bacterial small subunit ribosomal RNA", at positions 329 to 793 of the family's 1533-position model. The record is from RNAcentral.
GGCCAGACUCCUACGGGAGGCAGCAGUGAGGAAUAUUGGUCAAUGGGCGGGAGCCUGAACCAGCCAAGUCGCGUGAGGGAAGACGGUCCUACGGAUUGUAAACCUCUUUUGCCGGGGAGCAACGGGGUCCUUGCGAGGGCCCGAUGAGAGUACCCGGAGAAAAAGCAUCGGCUAACUCCGUGCCAGCAGCCGCGGUAAUACGGAGGAUGCGAGCGUUAUCCGGAUUUAUUGGGUUUAAAGGGUGCGUAGGCGGGCUUUUAAGUCAGCGGUAAAAAUUCGGGGCUCAACCCCGUCCGGCCGUUGAAACUGACGGUCUUGAGUGGGCGAGAAGUAUGCGGAAUGCGUGGUGUAGCGGUGAAAUGCAUAGAUAUCACGCAGAACUCCGAUUGCGAAGGCAGCAUACCGGCGCCCAACUGACGCUGAAGCACGAAAGCGUGGGAAUCGAACAGGAUUAGAUACCCUUGUAC